AGUCGCGCGGGUGGUUUUCGGAUCACUAGCGGCGGACGGGUGAGUAUCGCGUAGGAACAUAUCCUGAGGUGGGGGACAACCCUGGGAAACUGGGGCUAAUACCGCAUGUCUGUUGUGGCAGAAAGCCGAGAGGCGCCUUGGGAGUGGCCUGCGUCCGAUUAGGUAGUUGGUGGGGUAAAGGCCUACCAAGCCUGCGAUCGGUAGCUGGUCUGAGAGGACGAUCAGCCACACUGGGACUGAGACACGGCCCAGACUCCUACGGGAGGCAGCAGUGGGGAAUAUUGGACAAUGGGCGCAAGCCUGAUCCAGCAAUGCCGCGUGGGUGAAGAAGGUCUUCGGAUUGUAAAGCCCUUUCGGCGGGGACGAUAAUGACGGUACCCGCAGAAGAAGCCCCGGCUAACUUCGUGCCAGCAGCCGCGGUAAUACGAAGGGGGCUAGCGUUGCUCGGAAUGACUGGGCGUAAAGGGCGCGUAGGCGGCUCAUUUAGUCAGGCGUGAAAUUCCUGGGCUUAACCUGGGGACUGCGCUUGAUACGGGUGGGCUUGAGGGCAGGAGAGGCUCGCGGAAUUCCCAGUGUAGAGGUGAAAUUCGUAGAUAUUGGGAAGAACACCGGUGGCGAAGGCGGCGAGCUGGCCUGUGACUGACGCUGAGGCGCGACAGCGUGGGGAGCAAACAGGAUUAGAUACCCUGGUAGUCCACGCCGUAACGAUGUGCGCUGGAUGUUGGGCGGCCUAGCCGUUCAGUG
This 744-nucleotide ribosomal RNA is filed under the name uncultured bacterium. RNAcentral's name for it is "bacterial SSU rRNA". It matches the Rfam family "Bacterial small subunit ribosomal RNA", at positions 60 to 845 of the family's 1533-position model. The record is from RNAcentral.